GAUGAACGCUAGCGGCAGGCUUAAUACAUGCAAGUCGAGGGGCAGCAGGAAUAGCAAUAUUUGCUGGCGACCGGCGCACGGGUGCGUAACACGUAUACAAUCUGCCUUUAACAGGGGGAUAGCCCGGAGAAAUCCGGAUUAAUACCCCAUAACAGUUUUCUCGGCAUCGGGAAGAUUUGAAAGCUCCGGCGGUUAAAGAUGAGUAUGCGCCUGAUUAGCUAGUUGGUGAGGUAACGGCUCACCAAGGCGACGAUCAGUAGGGGAUCUGAGAGGAUUAACCCCCCANACGGAUACUGAGACACGGAUCCGACUCCUACGGGAGGCAGCAGUAAGGAAUAUUGGACAAUGCCCGCAAGGGUGAUCCCAGCCAUGCCGCGUGCAGGAAGACGGCCCUAUGGGUUGUAAACUGCUUUUACACCGGNGAAAACCCCCCUACGUGUAGGGGGCUGAUAGUAUGGUGAGAAUAAGCAUCGGCUAACUUCGUGCCAGCAGCCGCGGUAAAGUAC
This 506-nucleotide ribosomal RNA is filed under the name uncultured bacterium. RNAcentral describes it as "bacterial SSU rRNA". It matches the Rfam family "Bacterial small subunit ribosomal RNA", at positions 28 to 526 of the family's 1533-position model. The record is from RNAcentral.